GGAGGUACUUUCAAUGUUAGAGCAUUUUUGCUGUAUGGUUGCGGAAACAUUUUUCUCUGAGCUGACCAUGAAUGAUAUGAGAGGACAGGGAACAGUUUCUUGUCAAGAGUUUGGCCAAUUCAUCGGAAAUUCAAUAGUACACAUUCAGAUACGAUUUGAUCCAGAAAGGAAAUUUUCUUAUCGUACUAAGCGGGCUAUAGUCUACAAUUUGGUUGACGAUACGGACUCUGUAGAUCAGAUGGAAAGCAUUCAAGACCCCAGCAGAAACAAUUCGCAUGAAAUGCCAGCAGAUAUUACAUUCAGUUUCGACUCGGGUCGCGAGAGUGCGACAUAAACAGCGAGAGUUUGAGCCCGGGAUUAAAUCGAGUUUAACUCUCACACGAUGCAGGGUUUGAUGGAGCAAAGAUGGCGUCACGCGGUAAUAACAACAUGGUACAAAUAAAGAUAGAUGGGCAAUAAUGUCUGCUAGAUGAGAGUCUGGCUACCGUUUUUCUUUCAGAAGAUGGUGACCCGAAGACAAAGAGGGCCAUUAGGGAAGCACUUUCAACCAGUCACAAGAAUUCCACUUCCCUAGAUACAUCAACUUCUUCUAGAGCAUCAACUUCACGCGUAUUUGAGACCACCCCUUCUUGCUCAGCGUCAUCAGAAUCUACAUCAUCUGGACCUUCUACACCCUCCAGUUCUGACUCGCAGAACACAAUGCAUGUUUGGAAGGAAAGUGAAGAACGAUUUUUAAUUGAUUUAAGGCGCCACAGGGAGGACAAAUUUUCAGGCACAAAAUCUCAUGAUGUUCUUUGGGGAUAAAUAGCAAGUGAAAUGAAAAAAAAUGGCAUACAUGUUUCCAAAACACAACUGAUCAAUAAGUGGAAGGCAUUGAAAAAAAAAUACAAAGAAAUAAAUGAUGAAAAUAACAAAACCGGCAAUAAAAAGUAUUCCUGGAAGUAGUUAGAGCGGUUCAGUGAGGUUUAUGGCAAUAAGGCCUCCACAAAGGUAUCUGUGUCCUUUGACACAGGACGCUCCAGAGAUAAACUAAAAAUCAAUACA
Molecule: long non-coding RNA, 1044 nt
Organism: Magallana angulata
Lineage: Eukaryota; Metazoa; Mollusca; Bivalvia; Ostreida; Ostreidae
Exons: 6
Source: RefSeq, a predicted model, not a curated record